GGACUACCGGGGUAUCUAAUCCUGUUUGCUCCCCACGCUUUCGUGCAUGAGCGUCAGUCAUGGCCCAGGGGGCUGCCUUCGCCAUCGGUGUUCCUCCACAUCUCUACGCAUUUCACUGCUACACGUGGAAUUCCACCCCCCUCUGCCUGACUCCAGUCUUGCAGUCACAACCGCAGUUCCCAGGUUAAGCCCGGGGAUUUCACAGCUGUCUUACAAAACCGCCUGCGCACGCUUUACGCCCAGUAAUUCCGAUUAACGCUCGCACCCUACGUAUUACCGCGGCUGCUGGCAC
This 292-nucleotide ribosomal RNA is filed under the name uncultured bacterium. RNAcentral describes it as "partial 16S ribosomal RNA". The record is from RNAcentral.